This 269-nucleotide ribosomal RNA is filed under the name uncultured prokaryote. RNAcentral's name for it is "partial 16S ribosomal RNA". It matches the Rfam family "Bacterial small subunit ribosomal RNA", at positions 524 to 792 of the family's 1533-position model. The record is from RNAcentral.
UACGGAGGAUGCGAGCGUUAUCCAGAUUUAUUGGGUUUAAAGGGUGCGUAGGCGGCUUUUUAAGUCAGCGGUGAAAUUUUGCAGCUCAACUGUAAAAGUGCCUUCGAAACUGGUUUCCUUGAGUGUAGAUGAAGUAGGCGGAAUUUGUGGUGUAGCGGUGAAAUGCUUAGAUAUCACGAGGAACUCCGAUUGCGCAGGCAGCUUACUAAACUACUACUGACGCUCAGGCACGAAGGCGUGGGGAUCAAACAGGAUUAGAUACCCUGGUA